GCCUUCUAAUCCACUUGGCAGAAGGGAAGGGGCCUAUAAAUAAACGGGAAGGGAGUAGUUGACUCAGGCAGGAAGGGAGUAGUUGACUCAGGACUAAAGGUAGGCGCUUAAGAUAAGAGAUAUGUUGUCGGGCUAAAGUUAGGCUCUAAGAGAAAAGAGCUAUGUUGUGGGACGAAGCGGGAAAUUAAUGAAAAGUGAAGUGGAACUCGGUGUCAGGAAGGGAAGUAGAACUCGGUGUCAGGAUCCGUAGCUGUAGAAAAAGCUUUUCUUGCCAGUUAAAGUAUACAGUAGUUGUAAGCGGUUCCUCAAGGUUCUUCAAGUAGAGCUAAAAAGACCUACUUCACCGUCUCCAGUGCGACUUAACCACGGAUUUCGAUCUAUUAUUUGAUUAUGUUAUGACAAUUCAUUUAGAUCCAUGUUAUGACAAUUCAUUUAGAUCCAUUAUUAUGACAAUUCUUUAUUACUAUUACAUUCUAUCCAAUAGAGUCGCCUGUUCCGGUUUAUCCUUUUUGAGUCUGUAACUGAUGACCUCUAACUUACCUGCCUUGCGUAACUGAACGGACUUCCUCAUCUAACUUACCUGCCUUGCGUAACUGAACGGACUUCCUCAUACGAACCUAAACAGCUUAUGCCGAAACGGAAAGAGGAGCGAGCCGAUUCCGAGCCAACUUUUCACCGUGCUGCGUCUUUUGCCGAGGUUUCUUUAGCGCCUAACUUUAUUGUCUUGAGCGCUAGGGGCUACCUUGUCUUUAGCGAGGGACUCUGGCUUUUCUAGGGAAGGGAUUAGUCUAACUGUGCCAGGCGUAGCUGACCCGCUUUCCUACUUGAAGUUGCUAAGCAGAUCCUUCAGAUUUCAUUGCAUUUUCUUAAGAAUGAUUACUCCGAUCAGGCAUUCUAUCAUACCAUUCUUGCAGACUACUUUUAGAUUUGAUAAGGUUUGUUUGUGUACCAGAAUAGUAGACUAUUGUGCCUACCAAAAGGGGAGGAGUCGGAUCCUCUUCCUAGCCCUAGUUUGAAAUAAGGUUCGCCUUUGUUAGGCCCUUUUUUGUAGUCACCGAUCUUAGACCAAUCCUCUUCUGCUUUAUAUUGGAAAAAGUAGGGUACAAAGUGAAGCCGAUCUUGUCUAUUUCUGUGUUUUAUGUCGGCUCUUUCCUCGUCGGCCCUCAAAUGAAAUAACUCGUUCCUUUCAUCGAAUCCCUUUCGGGUCCUUGAAAACUCCCUGGAAUCGAAGACAACUCCUGCGAGUCUAGCUAUACCGGUUUAGCUUCCCUUCUGAGUAGCUGCUUCUAUUAUAGGAAGAAUCCCUUUGAUUUCACCCUUUCUAUAACCACCCCUACGCCUGAAAGCAAUGCCGUUCACUUCUUUUCCCGUUCCAGGCUGCUUCCUUCUUUUCCGUGUUAUCGGCUCUGGAGGCCUUCCUCACGUACGCGCUGGCGACGGACUCUCCUUCUUCACUUUUGCGCAUUGUGUUGUGAAAAGCAGAAUACGCUUACUGCUUACUCUUAUUGGCUGGUGUAAUGUCUCAAGUCAGUGAUUCAACUGCCGUAAUUGAACAACUUCCUAUUCACCUUCAGGGUUAGUCCAGUCAAGUCAGCUACUCCUUCACUGGGCCGCAAACAGUAGAAUCCUUUGCCUUAGGUUCUUUUAUUCCAUUCUAAAGGGGCAAGGCAAGAGAGAAACACUUUUGAUUACUUUUGCUAGGGAGCCUGCUUUCUAGUUAUACAAAGACUGGGCUUAUUGGGACAAAGACGGAGACUACCUGUUCCAAUAUAUCGUAUGCUACUACCUGUUCCAAUAUAUCGUAUGCUACUACCAGUAUAGGCACGCACUUCUAAUUAGCCUGGCACUAAAGAUGGCUACACUGGGCUGAAAGGAAAGAACUUGCUUUUAGAACUCUCUUUUGAAGAGCCUGCUAUUCCAGCUUCAAUGCCAGGUAGAAAGUAGCAAGGUAAAAGGAACUCCAAUUUCCAUAAUACUAUUUUGCUCACUUUCCUUAAGUAAUCAUCUAAGGCUGGCUGCUGGAUUGACCUUUUCUGCCGGAACUCGUGCUUGAGAAACUCUUCCUUCCUUAGUUAAUGAAUAAAAAGGAAGUGGAAGUCUUCCCUCAGCAGAAUCGAUGAAUUAGCCAUAUAAAAGACCUUUUGAUUGGGCUGGAUGUCCAGAUGACAGACGCAGCACUAGUGGGUACAGUGUAUAUUUUGGUUUUCCUCUUUUCUCCUGGCUGGGGGGAGCCUCAAGGAAAAGCGCAGAUCGUCGAUCGGAUGGUAGAAUUAGAUCACGAAGCACCGGACUUUUGGAGAUAUCACAGAGAUGCCAUUAUUUCUUAUUCUAUUCUUACUAAAAGGAGGAUGGACUACAAUUCGCACAAGCUCUCUGAGAUGCUUUGUGAGUUUACUCGAUCGGAUGCCCACACGUCUCCUACUUUUCAGAAGAUGUGUGUUAUUCGCUAGAAGUUUUCUCAACUAGAUCAAGUAUUAGGUAUCUGGAAGUGAGUUUCUUUUUUCAGUGUCAUGUAAUAAAUAAAGGGAAGGGCUUCAUUUAGGAGCGAUCAGUUGUUCAUUCGGUAUUUUCAAAAGAAAGAAAUUAUUCCCAUCAAGACAGAUUAACGUAGUCAAGCCUGUAGGAGUAGUGAAGAACUAUAGUGCAGAACUAAGCGUUCUCGUUUGUUGGUUGUUGACUAACGAAGACAUGGUAGUAAUAAAGAUGCACAAAGGAAAGGAAGAAGGGCGGCUUCUUUGAUAGAUUCUGGCCAGCCCCAAUCUUUUGAGAAAGUAAAGUAGCUGAGUCUGUAACCUAUCUAAAAGAGAAGACCUUCAAAAUAGAGUCAAGUUCCUCACUCGCGGGAUGCAAAAAACUAGACAGUUCAGGUAACUUGCUCGCAGAAGAACUUCAAUUGGAUGAGGAUGGGCUUGAAGAGGACUAUCUAAGAAGCUAGUAUGAAUUUACCCUUGCAGACACACAUAAAAAGGACCUACUUAAAAGAUCGCAGCAAGGGAGGAUGGAAACUACUAGAUUGCAAUUAUAGAAAAGCUUGUAGUACGAAAUCUCAUCACACUUAAAGGAAAGGAGGACUCCUGCGGGCAUUGGCACUAUACCUGCCGGCAAUGGAACUGCCUAUAUCGCAUGCUUAUGGAUAGAUGCGCUUAGCACGCUAACAGACUAACAAUAGAUGGAAGGGCGAAGUACUCAAACAGAAUGUAUCCCGGUAAGCUUUCGCACUAUAAGCUGGCUUUCAAGAGACAGUGUAACCAUAUCUUCGCGAGCUCCUAUCAAAGCUGCUAUAUAAACAUAAAUCCCCGCCAGCUAUAGCCCUAACCAUCAGGAUGAGUUUCGUAAGGAACGAUGGAGCUAAAUCACACUUCUUUGAUAAGAGCACACAGGAUCGAGACUUGAUAGGAUAGGAACUUUUCCAACUUAGGCUUAGCCCCCAAUAGGGUCGCAUUUCCCACUUCAACUUCAAUUUGCUUUGCUCGCAGAAGACUUACAAUGACUCGCCAGCAGAAUCAAUCCUAGACUCUCAGGAGGGGGCGAGAAGUCAGAAUAACACUAUUAUACUAAAGAUGCAAGAACGAGAUCAACUGAACUGGCUAUAGGGGCUUCAAUAAAACCUUAUUGAUAGAACGACUAAUGUACACGUUAGGUUCACUUGGAAUGUUAGGGCUGGGAAGCUACGUAAUGGUAUACCGUUUGGUUAGGACUUUUCUGCCCGGUAGUAAGGAGAGUUGGGAGUUCGUUUUCAUAGUACACAUUAUUUAUUUUACUUUGAAUUAUACGAGUUCGUUAAGUAGAAUUCAUAAUUAGGAUAGAAUAUGGGAAGGGCACCGGGUGAAGAGGCUGGAGGCGCGCUGCUUAAGGGACUUCCCUCUCUCCCACUAAUCAUGCUAUAGACAUGGUUUUGUCAGUUUCCUGCUUUUUUCUCUUAGUUGAACUCUUGCUUGUUGCAGAAAUAAGGACCUAGUGGAUUCAUUCAUAUAGGGGAAGAAAUAAGGACCUAGUGGAUUCAUUCAUUAGUACUAAACCCGCGGCUCUCUCGUUCUAGACCUUUUUCCAGUCCCCUAUUCUUCCAUCGUGAAACCUUUAUCCCUGAGAUGCCCUGCCUUUCUUUUAUAGUAUAGACAAGUAAUCCAUUAUAGACAAGUAAUCGAUCCCGCCAUUCCUUAUUGCGCACUUCGGUGUGAAUAACAAUAAGAGCAAUCUAGAGUAGAUAAUAUAGUCUCGGCAUAAAUCCCAAAGGCCUAUAGUACCAGAAAAGACUUCAAAGAAGUGGCUCGUGGAACUGAGUUUUGCUAACCGCUUCUUGCUAACAAUGCUGUCCAAUGAAAUUCAUGUGUUUACGUCCUAUCUUCUGAGUCUAAGCCUUUUUUGUGUUAUAACAACAUAAGCCUUUUUUGUGUUAUAUAAAAUGACGUUAAGAGAAGAGAUUAUAGCUUUCUUUUGGUAGCUUUGUCUACGCAACGUGUUUUAACAAAAAAAGAAGUUUUCAAGAAGCGAAAAUAGAAGGGUUCCCCUAUCCGUAAGGUUCUUCCACAUGUGUCACAUUGGAAUAGCUCAACAACACUAGUAUUUCCUGUUCCAUGUCGACUUUACGACGAUGUCUUAUACAAAGGUAACCAUAGUAAUUGCCUAUGGUCAGCUCCUUCAAGUGUUUCGAAUCCCGAACUAGCUUGCUCUUUGAGGGACUUUAGUCGAUUGAACGGCACUCCGAUCCAGUAAGGACAUUUCCUUUUAUGGUUCUUCUUGCCACUCCUAAAUCAAUUUGAGUAUAGUUCUUCUUGCCACUCCUAAAUACAUUAUUGAGUUACCUAGCGUUGGACACAUUUUGUGAAAGGCAAAGGUUGGUUUGCUUCUCUAAUAGUUGCUCUUUACCUUUACUCCAUAAGAUGGGGCUUUUCCAUAGCUCGGAAGCGAAAGGCGAAAAACGCUCCUACUGUUGAAGAAGGCUUUCUGCCAGCUCGAUGCUAAAAUCCAGAGUGACCUAAUAAAGAAAAAAAGGUGAUUCUUAGCACUGAUACUCUAGAAAUCCGAAAUGGGUAGUACCUCCUACUAUAUUACUUCAAGCCAAAGUCCAAGUAGCUUCUUUUUCGAUGUCAUCAGCAAUUCGGAAUGAUACUUUGAUUCCAUCGAUCGGCAUUGCUCUCGGGGCUAAAUCUGACUGGUAACACCUAACUUUCCUAAUUGUACUGGCGCAUUCCCUUCCUAAGGAACCCGGCUAUCUUCUUGAUCUCUAUUAUCCCAAUGUUAAGUAGCUUUUCGCCCUUGCGUCGACUUGAUCCGGUUAAAUAGCCAUAUCCCUAGGCUUUUUGGAAAGUCAUAUUAUUUAUUACCGGGUGAAUAUAGAAAAUGCGUCAUCUCAUCUCGGGACUCCAUUUUGAUUAAGUCAAAUAGGUCGGUCGAUGCCCGGUUAUUAAGUCAUCCAAAGGGCGAUCAAUUCUUGCUUACUAGUGGAAAGACUAGCUAGAAUAGCACUAAUCGAGCACUAAUCAGAAAGCGACUACUACGCUCAUUGACGAUCCAAUAGUUGCUCUUGACCUUAGGUACCUAUUUCUCCUAGGCGUGCAACCUCUAAGCCACAUUACCCGAGCGACACUCUUUCUUCUCUGAAAGGGCUCCUUUGCGAAGCAUCCAAUCUUGCCUUUUUUCUUUGGGUUUCACUGGUGGUCAGUUGCAGCUAAAAAGCUGUCUAUUUCUCUAGUUCCCCACUCGUGUCUAACAAAAGUAGCUAUUGAUGAGAAAGUCCGAAUGUAUCUUUACCUGCAACGCUUGAAUGAAAGCAGCGCUUGGCCACCCAUCUAUAUUCUCCGCCUGAAGUGAGUGAUAGGGUUGUGUCAAAGUGUCACUUUUCAAGUAUCACCUUUCUUUAUGAAAUUCAUGGAAUUCCAAAAGCCACGUUUUAUUCGCCCAGGUUAAUCAAGUGGUAGUCCGGGAACCCAGAACCUGCUAUUUGACUUCGUAGAUAGGUGUAAGCCCCUUGUCCUUUGACAGGCGUGCUUCCGAAGCUGCUGCUCGUGGUACGGAGGCUUUCUUCGGGCUACCCGGAUGCCGCAACUACUUAUGCUUCCUUAAACGUUGGGCUAGGUCCCAUCCGAUUGUUGUCAUCUUCCCCAUCUCCAGGUGCUAUGGAUCCUC
This 6126-nucleotide long non-coding RNA is filed under the name Musa acuminata (dwarf banana). RNAcentral describes it as "long non-coding RNA (MACU_LNC008000)". Lineage: Eukaryota; Viridiplantae; Streptophyta; Magnoliopsida; Zingiberales; Musaceae. The record is from RNAcentral.